UGGGGAAAUUGCGCAAUGGGCGGAAGCCUGACGCAGCGACGCCGCGUGGGGGAUGACGGCCUUCGGGUUGUAAACCUCUUUCGCCAGGGACGAAGCGUGAGUGACGGUACCUGGAUAAGAAGCACCGGCCAACUACGUGCCAGCAGCCGCGGUAACACGUAGGGUGCGAGCGUUGUCCGGAAUUAUUGGGCGUAAAGAGCUCGUAGGCGGUCUGUCGCGUCGGUCGUGAAAACUUGGGGCUUAACCCUGAGCUUGCGGUCGAUACGGGCAUGACUGGAGUUCGGCAGGGGAGACUGGAAUUCCUGGUGUAGCGGUGAAAUGCGCAGAUAUCAGGAGGAACACCGGUGGCGAAGGCGGGUCUCUGGGCCGAUACUGACGCUGAGGAGCGAAAGCGUGGGGAGCGAACAGGAUUAGAUACCCUGGUAGUCCACGCCGUAAACGGUGGGCGCUAGGUGUGGGGGCCAUUCCACGGUCUCUGUGCCGCAGCUAACGCAUUAAGCGCCCCGCCUGGGGAGUACGGCCGCAAGGCUAAAACUCAAAUGAAUUGACGGGGUCAUAGCUG
RNAcentral lists this ribosomal RNA (562 nucleotides) under uncultured bacterium. RNAcentral's name for it is "partial 16S ribosomal RNA". It matches the Rfam family "Bacterial small subunit ribosomal RNA", at positions 356 to 932 of the family's 1533-position model. The record is from RNAcentral.